AAUGAACGUUGGCGGCGUGGAUUAGGCAUGCAAGUCGAGCGAGAACCGGUUCUUCGGAAUCGGGGAAAGCGGCAAACGGGGUAGUAAUGUGUCGGUACGUGCCCUCAGGUCGGGGAUAGCCAGGGGAAACCCUGAUUAAUACCCGAUAAUCUCGAGAGAGCAAAGGUCCGCUGCCGGAGGAGCGGCCGACAUGGUAUCAGGUAGUUGGUGAGGUAAUGGCCCACCAAGCCUUAGACGCCUAGGGGGCGUGAGAGCGCGACCCCCACCACUGGGACUGAGAUACUGCCCAGACACCUACGGGAGGCAG
RNAcentral lists this ribosomal RNA (307 nucleotides) under uncultured Planctomycetota bacterium. RNAcentral's name for it is "bacterial SSU rRNA". It matches the Rfam family "Bacterial small subunit ribosomal RNA", at positions 29 to 351 of the family's 1533-position model. The record is from RNAcentral. Lineage: Bacteria; Pseudomonadati; Planctomycetota.